Molecule: ribosomal RNA, 468 nt
Filed under: uncultured bacterium
Lineage: Bacteria
Description: partial 16S ribosomal RNA
Rfam family: Bacterial small subunit ribosomal RNA
Source: RNAcentral
GACGAACGCUGGCGGCGUGCUUAACACAUGCAAGUCGAACGGAAAGGCCCUGCUUUUGUGGGGUGCUCGAGUGGCGAACGGGUGAGUAACACGUGAGUAACCUGCCCUUGACUUUGGGAUAACUUCAGGAAACUGGGGCUAAUACCGGAUAGGAGCUCCUGCUGCAUGGUGGGGGUUGGAAAGUUUCGGCGGUUGGGUAUGGACUCGCGGCUUAUCAGCUUGUUGGUGGGGUAGUGGCUUACCAAGGCUUUGACGGGUAGCCGGCCUGAGAGGGUGACCGGCCACAUUGGGACUGAGAUACGGCACAGACUCCUACGGGAGGCAGCAGUGGGGAAUAUUGCACAAUGGGCGGAAGCCUGAUGCAGCAACGCCGCGUGCGGGAUGACGGCCUUCGGGUUGUAAACCGCUUUCGCCUGUGACGAAGCGUGAGUGACGGUAAUGGGUAAAGAAGCACCGGCUAACUACGUG